RNAcentral lists this ribosomal RNA (440 nucleotides) under uncultured bacterium. RNAcentral describes it as "bacterial SSU rRNA". It matches the Rfam family "Bacterial small subunit ribosomal RNA", at positions 774 to 1200 of the family's 1533-position model. The record is from RNAcentral.
AGUAAAUAGAUACCCAGGUAGUCCUGGCCCUAAACGAUGUCCACUAGAUCGUAGAACUUUUGACGGUUUUAUGGUCGAAAGUAAAAAAAAUGUUAAAGUGGACCGCCUGGGAAGUACGGUCGCAAGGCUAAAACUCAAAGGAAUUGACGGGGCUCACACAAGCGGUGGAGCAUGUGGUUCAAUUCGAAAGCAACGCGCAGAACCUUACCUGGGUUUGACAUCCUUGGAUUAUCUCCAUGAAAAGUGGAGUAGGCCCUUCGGGUACGAACUUGGACAGGUGCUGCAUGGCUGUCGUCAGCUCGUGUCGUGAGAUGUCGGGUUAAGUCCCAUAACGAGCGAAACCUUUGCCCUUAGUUACUAACGGGUUAUGCCGAGGACUCUAAGGGACGUGCCGGUGUCAAACCGGAGGAAGGUGGAGAUGACGUCAAGUCCUCAUGGCC